GGAGUGGAAGAGGGAGGGAGAGAGAGAGAAGUGGAAGAGGGAGCGAGAGAGAUAAGUGGAAGAGGGAGCGAGAGAGAGAGAGAGAGUGAGAGAAAAGUGGAAGAGGGAGCGAGAAAGAGAGAGAGAGGGAGGGAGCGAGAGGGAGAGAGAUAGAGAGAAGUGGAAGAGGGGGCAAAAGAGAGAGAGAGAGAAGUGGAAGAGGGGGCAAAAGAGAGAGAGAGAGAAGUGGAAGAGGGAGUGCGAGAGGGAGAGAGAGAGAA
This is a long non-coding RNA of Oncorhynchus tshawytscha (Chinook salmon), 260 nucleotides long. The record is from Ensembl. Lineage: Eukaryota; Metazoa; Chordata; Actinopteri; Salmoniformes; Salmonidae.